This 30-nucleotide non-coding RNA is filed under the name Mus musculus (house mouse). The record is from RNAcentral. Lineage: Eukaryota; Metazoa; Chordata; Mammalia; Rodentia; Muridae.
UCUUGCAGUGACAAGUGGGUCUUGCAGUGC